AAUGGGGGAAACCCUGAUGCAGCCACGCCGCGUGUGUGAAGAAGGCCUUCGGGUUGUAAAGCACUUUCAGUUGUGAGGAAAAGUUAGUAGUUAAUACCUGCUAGCCGUGACGUUAACAACAGAAGAAGCACCGGCUAACUCCGUGCCAGCAGCCGCGGUAAUACGGAGGGUGCGAGCGUUAAUCGGAAUUACUGGGCGUAAAGCGCACGCAGGCGGUUUGUUAAGCUAGAUGUGAAAGCCCCGGGCUCAACCUGGGAUGGUCAUUUAGAACUGGCAGACUAGAGUCUUGGAGAGGGGAGUGGAAUUCCAGGUGUAGCGGUGAAAUGCGUAGAUAUCUGGAGGAACAUCAGUGGCGAAGGCGACUCCCUGGCCAAAGACUGACGCUCAUGUGCGAAAGUGUGGGUAGCGAACAGGAUU
Molecule: ribosomal RNA, 417 nt
Filed under: uncultured Gammaproteobacteria bacterium
Lineage: Bacteria; Pseudomonadati; Pseudomonadota; Gammaproteobacteria
Description: bacterial SSU rRNA
Rfam family: Bacterial small subunit ribosomal RNA
Source: RNAcentral